RNAcentral lists this transfer RNA (75 nucleotides) under Candidatus Methanomarinus sp. HR1. Its description in RNAcentral is "ANME-2 cluster archaeon HR1 tRNA-Arg". It matches the Rfam family "tRNA". Rfam says of the family: Transfer RNA (tRNA) molecules are approximately 80 nucleotides in length. Lineage: Archaea; Methanobacteriati; Methanobacteriota; Methanomicrobia; Methanosarcinales; Candidatus Methanocomedenaceae. RNAcentral also lists the same sequence under 4 other names. The record is from RNAcentral.
GGGCGCAUGGCCAAGCCUGGAUAUGGCAGCAGCCUCCUAAGCUGAAGAUCGGGGGUUCAAAUCCCCCUGCGCCCG